This 496-nucleotide ribosomal RNA is filed under the name uncultured bacterium. Its description in RNAcentral is "partial 16S ribosomal RNA". It matches the Rfam family "Bacterial small subunit ribosomal RNA", at positions 28 to 506 of the family's 1533-position model. The record is from RNAcentral.
GAUGAACGCUGGCGGCGUGCCUAAUACAUGCGAGUCGAGCGAACAGACGAGGAGCUUGCUCCUCUGACGUUAGCGGCGGACGGGUGAGUAACACGUGGAUAACCUACCUAUAAGACUGGGAUAACUUCGGGAAACCGGAGCUAAUACCGGAUAAUAUAUUGAACCGCAUGGUUCAAUAGUGAAAGACGGUUUUGCUGUCACUUAUAGAUGGAUCCGCGCCGCAUUAGCUAGUUGGUAAGGUAACGGCUUACCAAGGCGACGAUGCGUAGCCGACCUGAGAGGGGGAUCGGCCACACUGGAACUGAGACACGGUCCAGACUCCUACGGGAGGCAGCAGUAGGGAAUCUUCCGCAAUGGGCGAAAGCCUGACGGAGCAACGCCGCGUGAGUGAUGAAGGUCUUCGGAUCGUAAAACUCUGUUAUUAGGGAAGAACAAAUGUGUAAGUAACUAUGCACGUCUUGACGGUACCUAAGCAGAAAGCCACGGCUAACUACGG